GAUAAACGCUGGCGGCGUGCCUAAUACAUGCAAGUCGAGCGAAUGGAUUAAGAGCUUGCUCUUAUGAAGUUAGCGGCGGACGGGUGAGUAACACGUGGGUAACCUGCCCAUAAGACUGGGAUAACUCCGGGAAACCGGGGCUAAUACCGGAUAACAUUUUGAACCGCAUGGUUCGAAAUUGAAAGGCGGCUUCGGCUGUCACUUAUGGAUGGACCCGCGUCGCAUUAGCUAGUUGGUGAGGUAACGGCUCACCAAGGCAACGAUGCGUAGCCGACCUGAGAGGGGGAUCGGCCAAACUGGGACUGAGACACGGCCCAGACUCCUACGGGAGGCAGCAGUAGGGAAUCUUCCGCAAUGGACGAAAGUCUGACGGAGCAACGCCGCGUGAGUGAUGAAGGCUUUCGGGUCGUAAAACUCUGUUGUUAGGGAAGAACAAGUGCUAGUUGAAUAAGCUGGCACCUUGACGGUACCUAACCAGAAAGCCACGGCUAACUACGUGCCAGCAGCCGCGGUAA
Molecule: ribosomal RNA, 515 nt
Filed under: uncultured bacterium
Lineage: Bacteria
Description: partial 16S ribosomal RNA
Rfam family: Bacterial small subunit ribosomal RNA
Source: RNAcentral